UUUUAAUGUUUCUGUGGGAAUGGUGGCAGUCUAACUAACAAGCAUGGCACAGUAGCUCUUUCAGUGCCAAGCUUGGACAUCUUUGCUUUAUGUUAAGCUCCCUAAAUUAGAACACAUCCAGUCAAGUGGACUGGAGAAGGUGUUGGGAUUCAGAUGUUCUCAGUCAGGACUCAUAACAUCUCCCUGCAUCUGCUUGCCCUGAGUUCUCCCAUUUCAGGAUCAGCGGGAUGAGUGUGGUGGAGCAGCUAUAGAGAAGAGUAUUCACAACGGCAAUUGUGACAUGGUCUCCCAUGCUUUUCCGUCACAGUAAGCAACAGGAUUUGGGCCAGUGUCUGUGUCUGAGUAAACAUUACCAUAUUGUCAUCCUGAUAUCAUCAUCCCACUAUAACUGAUGGUCAGAGGCUGAUGAGACUGGGCUAAACGUUUCCAUAAAGCCACCCGCUGUCUUCUGAAGCAUUUCCUGCAUAAAGUCCAGAUUAUUGCCGCUGAUCAAGAACUUGGAGGCUGCUGAUCAACAAGCUGUUGUUGGCUUCUGACAGAGAGGAGCAAAAGCAACCCACAAAAGGAAAUGAAUGCUUCUAGGAGAACUCAAAGCAAGCUGCAUGUUUCGUGUUCCCUGGGGGCCUCUCACUCAUGUACUGACCAAAUACAGAAUGAUUUAGCUGCAUCAAGAUUGCUGCACCACAAAUGUUCAGACUGUGCCCUGUGAAUUAAUUAACAUUAGGAAAGCACUCUGCAUGCCUGUGGUAAAGGUUACGUUUAAAUGUGUUCUUGCUGUAAAGUUGCUUGUUUUCUAGGGGCAAAACUUCAUCAACUGCUUGUAGCU
This 826-nucleotide long non-coding RNA is filed under the name Pogona vitticeps (central bearded dragon). Its description in RNAcentral is "lncRNA (ENSPVIG00000008360.1)". Lineage: Eukaryota; Metazoa; Chordata; Lepidosauria; Squamata; Agamidae. The record is from RNAcentral.